This 243-nucleotide ribosomal RNA is filed under the name uncultured bacterium. RNAcentral's name for it is "partial 16S ribosomal RNA". It matches the Rfam family "Bacterial small subunit ribosomal RNA", at positions 534 to 776 of the family's 1533-position model. The record is from RNAcentral.
GCUAGCGUUGUUCGGAAUUACUGGGCGUAAAGGGCGCGUAGGCGGUUUGUUUAGUCGGGGGUGAAAUCCCGGGGCUCAACCCCGGAACUGCAUUCGAUACUGGCAGGCUAGAGACCGGAAGAGGUGGGUGGAAUACCCAGUGUAGAGGUGAAAUUCGUAGAUAUUGGGUGGAACACCGGUGGCGAAGGCGGCUCACUGGUCCGGUUCUGACGCUGAGGCGCGAAAGCGUGGGGAGCAAACAGG